RNAcentral lists this long non-coding RNA (685 nucleotides) under Pan troglodytes (chimpanzee). RNAcentral describes it as "long non-coding RNA NONPTRT012339". The record is from RNAcentral. Lineage: Eukaryota; Metazoa; Chordata; Mammalia; Primates; Hominidae.
CUUGAACUCCUGACCUCAGGUGAUCCACCUGCCUUGGUCUCCCAAAGUGCUGGGAUUAUAGGUGUGAGCCACGGCGCCCAGCCACACUGAUCCUUUCUUUUGCAGUCUUCCACUAAUCCCAUCUCGUGUAUUAUUUCUCUGACACUACUUUUCAUCCCCAGAAGUACGAUUUGAGGCUUUUUUCCCCGUCUUUACUUAACAUACUGUCUUUCCUUUCCUCCAGCAUCUUGAACAUAUGGAACAUGGUCACAGCAUAAGCAUGUGUGUGCUCUCCUCUACUUGCCCUGUCACCUUUGUCAUUUCCAGCCUCCUCCACCCGCCUGUCCUUGUCAGUCCCUAUACCUGCUGUUCCUGAGAUGCCGCCUGUGUGAGGCCUGCCCGGCUCUCCCCCAGUCUCGCCUCUCCUGCCCCGGGGCAGGUGCUGUCGCCGGCAAGCGAGGAUCCGUGCUAGCGAACCUGCGCGCGUGGGGCUCACCGGGGCUGGGUAGGUGGCUACAAGAACCUGUCUCCCCGCGGUCACCCCAUGAGGUUGGCUGAGGAUGGGGCCUGAGACCCCGAGGGUGGCUGACCGCCCCGUUUCAGUUUUAAGGGGCAGGACGUGCUUGCGCCGGCCCCUUGGCUCCGCGCUCCGCGCCGCCUGACCCGAAGGGCCGUGGGAGCGGGGAGGGCCCAGUCCCUGUUCCGG